UGCAAGUCGAACGAACUCUUCGGAGUUAGUGGCGGACGGGUGAGUAACACGUGGGAACGUGCCUUUAGGUUCGGAAUAACUCAGGGAAACUUGUGCUAAUACCGAAUGUGCCCUUCGGGGGAAAGAUUUAUCGCCUUUAGAGCGGCCCGCGUCUGAUUAGCUUGUUGGUGGGGUAAUGGCCCACCAAGGCUACGAUCAGUAGCUGGUCUGAGAGGAUGACCAGCCACAUUGGGACUGAGACACGGCCCAAACUCCUACGGGAGGCAGCAGUGGGGAAUCUUGCGCAAUGGGCGAAAGCCUGACGCAGCCAUGCCGCGUGUAUGAUGAAGGUCUUAGGAUUGUAAAAUACUUUCACCGGUGAAGAUAAUGACUGUAGCCGGAGAAGAAGCCCCGGCUAACUUCGUGCCAGCAGCCGCGGUAAUACGAAGGGGGCUAGCGUUGCUCGGAAUUACUGGGCGUAAAGGGAGCGUAGGCGGACAUUUAAGUCAGAGGUGAAAUCCCGGAGCUUAACUUCGGAACUGCCUUUGAUACUGGGUGUCUUGAGUGUGAGAGAGGUAUGUGGAACUCCGAGUGUAGAGGUGAAAUUCGUAGAUAUUCGGAAGAACACCAGUGGCGAAGGCGACAUACUGGCUCAUUACUGACGCUGAGGCUCGAAAGCGUGGGGAGCAAACAGGAUUAGAUACCCUGGUAGUCG
RNAcentral lists this ribosomal RNA (694 nucleotides) under uncultured bacterium. RNAcentral describes it as "bacterial SSU rRNA". It matches the Rfam family "Bacterial small subunit ribosomal RNA", at positions 56 to 796 of the family's 1533-position model. The record is from RNAcentral.